Molecule: transfer-messenger RNA, 348 nt
Filed under: human gut metagenome
Rfam family: transfer-messenger RNA
About the family: Bacterial tmRNA, also known as 10Sa RNA or SsrA, is named for its dual tRNA and mRNA-like properties. Its role is to liberate the mRNA from a stalled ribosome.
Source: RNAcentral
GGGGGCGUAAAGGUUUCGACGGGGACUUUGAAUCACAAUAAGCGGGUAGAGCUGGCGUAAACUCUUAAAACUGCACCACGUUUUAAAUAUAAACGCUAGAAAUAAUAUUACAGUUAGCUCAAGAAGCUACGCUGUAGCAGCCUAAGUCUGCUACUGUCCUCCUUUUGAGAACCACGGCUUAAGGUUGGGCAUCGAUUAGUGGUGAACGUUCUUUUGGACUGUUCCGGCCAGAUGAAUGUAUAUGGAACUACUGAAACUGUAAGCCUGUUUGUCGGCGUAUAGCAGAGGGAAUGUUAAAAGAUAAACUACACUCGUAGAAAGUUGUGUGGAUUGGUUUUCGGACAUGUG